AUGAAGCUCCGUCCCCCAGGGAAUCCUAGUGACUCACCAGCAGGCCUGGCAGGACUGCAGAAGAGCUCCCCGAGCAGCUCCGAGCCCCAAGGAGCCUUCCUACAGGGAAUCCCGACUCCGGGCAGCUCCGAGCCCCAAAGAGCCAUCCUACAAGGAAGUCCCGACUCCCAGCCGAAGGCCCAAAGCCCCAAGGAGCCUUCCUACAAGGAAGUCCCAACCCCGAGCUGCUCCCAGCUGAAGGCCCGAAGCCCCAAGGAGCCGUCCUACAGGGAAUCCCGACUCCGGGCAGCUCUGAGCCCCAAGGAGCCGUCCUACAAGGAAGUCCUGACCCUGAGCAGCUCCGAGCCCCAAGGAGCCUCCUACAAGGAAGUCCCAACCCUGAGCAGCUCCCAGCCUAAGGCCCAAAGCCCCAAGGAGCUGUCCUACAAGGAAGUCCCGACUCCCAGCCAAAGGCCCAAAGCCCCAAGGAGCUGUCCUACAAGGAAGUCCUGACUCCUAGCAGCUCCGAGCAGAAGGCCCAAAGCCCUAAGGAGCCAUCCUACAAGGAAGUCCAAAGGAGAAGAUCCAAGGAGCAGAGCCUCCAAAGGAGAAUUUUACUGAAGAGGAAGUUCAGGACUUUUUAUAGUCGUUUCCCCGAGUCCCUUCUUGUCCCUUGCCCAUUUGCCUGGCACGGCUGGGAGCUGGGACGUGGGAGGGCCAUGGCACCCACUCCAGUCCACUCCGGUGACUUGUGACCUCUCAUCCUUGGUGGCUGAGUCGGGGUGCUUCAGCUUUUAUGCUGAUCUUCGCAUUCCUCACUCACCCGGGCAGCAGAUUCUCAGCCUCUUCCUCUAGCAUCCACGGGGCGUCCCUUCGCCCAGAACAAGCAAUUACGGCUCCUCUGCAAAGCUGCCAGCCCUGGGCAUGGGCAGUGCAUUAGGGAGGAGGAUGGGGAGACCUUCUCUCUAGGGAAAGGCCCGUGAAUGCCGUUACUCCACUUGGGGUCGGCACAUGGGCUCGCCCUCACCUCAGAGCAUUUGUAAUGCCAGGAACCCGGGAUGGGAGGUGCCAAGUUUUCCUGGAAUGAGCAACAGCCAAAUCCUGUGCCCCCACCAUGUUGGGUUCCAUCCUGGCAGAAACUCCUGGGCACAAGCUGGGUAAAGGGGGUCAUUGUUCUGGCUCAAUCUGAACCCGGACAGGGACAGCAGGUUCUGGGCAUUCUCCAGCAUCACCUCCCUGCACAGCUCCUUCUGGGGAGGCUCCAAGAGGCGCCACUCCUCCCGCGUGAAGUCCACAGCCACAUCCUGGAACGUCACCGCCUCCUAGAGCAUCACAAGUCAAAGCACAGGCCUGAAGCACAGUUCUCGGAGGAAACCAAAGCACAGAGAAAGUCUGGCCCCAGCCUUUCCCUGACGUGUGUCAGCGUCCACACGUGAAACCGUAGUGAGGAAACGGCUGCCCUGGAAUAGCCCCGAGGAGCGUCUGACUGAAAUCCCCGAACCCCUCAGGGUUACACGAGUGUCUCCACUUUGUCCUCCUUUACUUGUUUCGGCACCAGAGACCUUGGAUUUUCCAAGACAAUCGCCCUCUUAGGCAACUCACACAGCCGCUCUGUCUCCCCCCAAGCCGUAUGGGGUGAAAGGGGCAUUCAAACACACCCUUAUUUCUCAUCUUUUGUUAAUUGUGGCUGUCCGGCCUGAUGCUCAGGAACCCAGGAUUGGGGGAGCAACCUGGAAAAGCGUGUUUUUAGCAGCAAGACUGUGGGUACAAGGAGGCCGCUCCCAAGGCUCCGGGUCUCCGGCUGCUGACCGGAGUCCGGCGUCACUGUGACACUGACCCUCUCUCAAUAAACCCAUUUCUUUUCGGCUUGGAGACUUUGUU
Long non-coding RNA from Monodelphis domestica (gray short-tailed opossum), 1860 nucleotides. NCBI's taxonomy places the organism in Eukaryota, Metazoa, Chordata, Mammalia, Didelphimorphia, Didelphidae. The record is from Ensembl.